GGGGGUGUACCGGAUUCGACGGGUUGAGUACAAUUGCAGGCUGCAUGCCGAGAUUGACCGAUGAAUCUCGUUAAUCAUUCAUCAUGGAUAAAUGUAAUUGACAACAAUUACUCAUACAGACUCGCAGCAUAAACUGACGAGUCCGUUCCUUUGGGUUCUUGCCAGUAGGGCCCAUUGCGAGCGUCGACAAAACUGGCUUUUCCGAAGCGCAUGUCUGCUGCGUGGCUGGAGAACUUAAUGCAGAAUAGGUUGAAGUUGCUUUGCUAUUGAGCAUUGCUUUAUCCGAAACUUAAUCAAUAGCUAAGCAUGUAGAUGCUUGACGAUUUACCUACUCGGACCGGGGUUCGAUUCCCCGCACCUCCACAA
This 366-nucleotide transfer-messenger RNA is filed under the name Balneolaceae bacterium. It matches the Rfam family "transfer-messenger RNA". Rfam says of the family: Bacterial tmRNA, also known as 10Sa RNA or SsrA, is named for its dual tRNA and mRNA-like properties. Its role is to liberate the mRNA from a stalled ribosome. To accomplish this part of the tmRNA is used as a reading frame that ends in a translation stop signal. The record is from RNAcentral. Lineage: Bacteria; Pseudomonadati; Balneolota; Balneolia; Balneolales; Balneolaceae.